AGAAGCCCUGACUGCUCAACAGAAAGAACCAUUUUCCAUUAUCCUUUUGUUCACUAAUUGAGCAAGUAUUAUAGGGCUUCUUACAUACCAGGCAUAGCUCAACAUGUUGAGGACACAGAAGAGAACUAAGGAGAUGGUUUUGGGGAGCUUUUAUGCUGCUGCCAGGAGAGAGAGAGAGGAGCUCCUUUUACUCUGCUGUCAAGCUGAAAGAACCACAUAAGCCUGCAGCUUAUGGUCCUAACCCCAGGCUUCACGGAAGAAGCUCUCUGCACAAUGAUGCCAACACACGAGAGAGCUGGAGUUCUGGCAACGUUUACCACCAUCUGAAGCGAACUCAAGCCUUCAACUUUCCAGUCGCUGGAGCCAAUACAUUCCCUUUUUCUUAAGCUAA
Hyaena hyaena (striped hyena) is the source of this 391-nucleotide long non-coding RNA. RefSeq lists it as uncharacterized. The transcript has 2 exons. The record is from RefSeq and is a predicted model, not a curated record. NCBI's taxonomy places the organism in Eukaryota, Metazoa, Chordata, Mammalia, Carnivora, Hyaenidae.